RNAcentral lists this non-coding RNA (97 nucleotides) under Weissella kandleri. RNAcentral describes it as "TPP sequence". It matches the Rfam family "TPP riboswitch aptamer (THI element)". Rfam says of the family: Vitamin B(1) in its active form thiamin pyrophosphate (TPP) is an essential coenzyme that is synthesised by coupling of pyrimidine and thiazole moieties in bacteria. The previously detected thiamin-regulatory element, thi box was extended, resulting in a new, highly conserved RNA secondary structure, the THI element, which is widely distributed in eubacteria and also occurs in some archaea. The record is from Rfam by way of RNAcentral. Lineage: Bacteria; Bacillati; Bacillota; Bacilli; Lactobacillales; Lactobacillaceae.
AAGAUCCACUAGGGGAGCAUAUGUGCUGAGACGGGAAACCGGACCCUUUGAACCUGAUUGAGUUAAGACUUGCGGAGGAAAGUGAUGAAUCGAAUUC